UGCCCUGUGACAUUGUUUAACGGCCGCGGUAUUAUGACCGUGCGAAGGUAGCGUAAUCACUUGUCUUUUAAUUGAAGACCUGUAUGAAAGGCAUCACGAGAGUUUACCUGUCUCUAUUUUCUAAUCAAUGAAAUUGAUUUCCCCGUGCAGAAGCGGGGAUAUAACCAUAAGACGAGAAGACCCUAUGGAGCUUUAAACACUUAAGUUACUAUCUUACUCAUUAAUUAAUCUAAAGACUUAAUCACUCUAAUAGCUAACCUAACUUAAUGUUUUCGGUUGGGGCGACCAAGGAGUAAAAGAAAACCUCCUUAUCGACUAAGUAUUUUUACUUAAAAACCAGAACGACAGUUCUGAUUAAUAGAAUAUCUAACGAAUAAUGACCCAGGGCCAUACCCUGAUCAAUGAACCAAGUUACCCUAGGGAUAACAGCGCAAUCCUUUCUAAGAGUCCAUAUCGCCGAAAGGGUUUACGACCUCGAUGUUGGAUCAGGACAUCCUAAU
This 500-nucleotide ribosomal RNA is filed under the name Dipturus cf. gigas KKB-2015. RNAcentral describes it as "partial 16S ribosomal RNA". It matches the Rfam family "Bacterial large subunit ribosomal RNA", at positions 1860 to 2551 of the family's 2925-position model. Lineage: Eukaryota; Metazoa; Chordata; Chondrichthyes; Rajiformes; Rajidae. The record is from RNAcentral.